UUUUAUGGAGAGUUUGAUCCUGGCUCAGGAUGAACGCUGGCGGCGUGCCUAAUACAUGCAAGUCGAGCGAACGGACGAGAAGCUUGCUUCUCUGAUGUUAGCGGCGGACGGGUGAGUAACACGUGGAUAACCUACCUAUAAGACUGGGAUAACUUCGGGAAACCGGAGCUAAUACCGGAUAAUAUUUUGAACCGCAUGGUUCAAAAGUGAAAGACGGUCUUGCUGUCACUUAUAGAUGGAUCCGCGCUGCAUUAGCUAGUUGGUAAGGUAACGGCUUACCAAGGCAACGAUGCAUAGCCGACCUGAGAGGGUGAUCGGCCACACUGGAACUGAGACACGGUCCAGACUCCUACGGGAGGCAGCAGUAGGGAAUCUUCCGCAAUGGGCGAAAGCCUGACGGAGCAACGCCGCGUGAGUGAUGAAGGUCUUCGGAUCGUAAAACUCUGUUAUUAGGGAAGAACAUAUGUGUAAGUAACUGUGCACAUCU
Molecule: ribosomal RNA, 487 nt
Filed under: Staphylococcus aureus
Lineage: Bacteria; Bacillati; Bacillota; Bacilli; Caryophanales; Staphylococcaceae
Description: bacterial SSU rRNA
Rfam family: Bacterial small subunit ribosomal RNA
Source: RNAcentral